AAAAAAAACAAAAAAAACAAAAAAUUACUACAGUGAAAAUGUAAAAUGGAAGUCCAUUUUCAGCAAAGGGCUUCUAUGUAAAGAAAAUAUAGUUUGUUGUUGAAUCUUUAAGUAAUAUAAACUUAAAAUUUUCUGUGUUUAUAAUUUAUUACAUGAAUGUUGUAAUUUAUUUCCAGGUUUAAUUAUUUUAAGGUUAAAAGGUGUGUGUGAGUGAACAUCUUGAGCCCUUGCUGAGUGCCAGAGAUUGUUCUAAGCUUUUAACCUGUUAUCUCAUUUGGUCUUCAAAGGACCUUUAUGAGUUAGAUACUGUAAUUUUCGCAAUAUAUUAAAUGAGAAAAUUGUGGCAUAUUGUAGUUUAUAGUUAAUCAUCAUUCCCACCCCCCAGUUCCAAGCCAGCACUAAUCUACUUUCUGUCUUUAUAGUAUAUCCUUUUCUGGAUAGUUCAUAUGAAUGGAGUAGUAAAAUAUGUGGCCUUUUUGUUGGCUUCUUUCAUUUACCCCGAUGUUUUGUCAUUGUGUUGUAGCAUGGAUCAGUAUUUUGUUCCUUUUUAUUGCAGAAUAAUACUUACAGUUCGUUUUUAAUGAAAAUAAUAACACAGACCUGGUCUCCUGGUAGCAAAUAUGAGAAAACCACUAGGUUUGGGCCUAGCUGUUCCCUUUAUGCCUCUCCUAUGUGUUAUCCUUGGUAACUGCCCAGACCCAAGACCAGACAGGACCAUUGCCUUCUAGAGUUCUCUUAUUCCAUACCUGGAUGCUUGUGCUUCCUCCCUUGGACUUUUUGUCCCUUUACUACCCUUCCUGGCAUUCUUUUCACUGUUCUGUGAAUUCUCAUUUUCAGUGUCAACACAUUACCCUGUGUUCUCAGUGCUUUCACAGUGGGUUGCUGGCAGGUAAUUGGAAUCUGAGAAUUUUAUCCAAGUUGCCCAUUAUUCUAAUCUCCAUAAGCCACAGAGCCAGGAACUGCUGAUGGUGUACUGGUUGUGGCGAACACUCUUUUUUGAAAAUUACUCUCUUACAUAACCACAGCACAUGCCAUCAAAAUCAGGAAAUCAGCGUUGAUCUGAUAAAACCAUCUACUCCACAGACCUUGUUCGGGUUUGGGGGAUUAUUCCAGAAUGUUCUCUCCUGGUCCAGGAUUUGAUCCAGGAUCUACUGGCAUGACUCUAAUUUUCUUCAGUAUGGAGCAGUUCCUCAGCCUUUCUUUGCAUUUCAUAGCAAACUUACUGAAGAUAACUAGUUUUUUUUUUUUUUUUUUUUUUUUUUGGUGGAAACUCAGUUUAAUGUUUCUUUAUAAUCUGCUUUUGUAGGGGAGGAGCAAAAAUUCUGUAUUCUUAGUGUUUUGUAACUGGAGCCGUGUGAUGUCAAUUUGAGUAAAUAUGAUAGAAGAUAUCCAGUGUUGGUCCUUAGGGAAAAAGGUUUUCAUAAUCACAGAAGUGGGGGCUCUCACUGAGGUUGAGUUAUCAACAAAUAGUUACAUUUUCUGGCAGCAUUGAUGGUGAAUUUUAUCUAAUUAUCUUUUAACUCAUAGAUAAGACAAUCACUUAUUCAUACAUUUACUACCCCUACUACGUGCUUACCCAUGUGUGGGUGCCGGGGAUCCAGGCAUCAACCAAACAGGCCUCUGGUUGCUCACCCUCAUUCACUGAUAUGUGUGAGAGGGAAUUUCAGUAGUGGUAAGUCAGUGGUCUUGCAACGUAAUUCUUGUGCUUUCAAAGAUCAUUCAUAGACUCAUAUAGCUAACACUCACAGGAUACUGCUCUUUGGCAUUGACCAGUCCCUCCACUUUCUUCCCUGAGACCCAUUGCAAGCUGUUUCUGAUCAUUGUCAGGAAAGAUUGUUUUCCUGUGUUUGUGUUAUUUUGAAAAGGCUCUCUGUGUUGGUUUGGUGCACCAGGAUAGUGUUGUACAGACUCACUUGCCACAGCAAAAAAAUGACAUCCUAAGGAGAAGUUAGUAUAUUCAUCAGAUGUUAAGUUUUUGAGUUGAGAUUUUGUCAGCUUUUUUGACCUGGAAAAAUAGAAGGUUUAUUUAUUUAUUUUUUUUCAAGAGUUGUCACUGGUCACAGAUAAUGAAAUAAGUAAAGUGAGUGGUGUUUAUCAUCCAUUGAGCUAGACCUAUUUUACUAGCUGAUUGACUACCUGAAAAUCUGAGUUUGAAUGUGGUUAUUUCACUGUGUCAAAUGGUAGCCUAGUAACUGAUUAUUACUGCUGUUUUAAACAGUGACCUUCUUAUGUUUAGGAUAUAUUUAGGUGAGUUAGUGAGGUAGCUUUGAUGCCUUAAUAGAACCAGAGAAACCACUUGGCCAUAAUAACUGAUAGUUUUCAGGUUUUCAUACUGUGCUUACUACUUAACACAUCUGUAACCUAGCAGAGCUCCAACGUUCUUCUUUUUGUUCCUACAGAGAAAGGAUCUCAAGUCUAACUUAGAAUGUGGCAUAAUAAUGUGUGACAGUCUUUUGAGGAACAAAUCACAGUAACCCCAAAUUGCCCAGGGUAAUCAAUAGCAACUGCCAGAUUGCAUUUGGAGCCAGGACAUUUCUUUGGCUACACUGGAUGACCAUGUGAGAUCUGAGAGAACAUGAGGAUGGUUAUAAGUGGCUGGAUAAAAACAAAACGAAAAUAUGUGAGUUCCUUUUGAGCUAAAGAUGUUGAUGAGAAUUAUUCUGAAGAAAAAUGGCCACUACAUUUUAAGUGCUAAUUUAAGAAUGGCUGCUGCUUCUUAGAGAUUGUUGAGUAUACUGAUUCUAAAUUAUGUAGUUUAAGUUGUGUAAAUUUAAAUUCUGGAGUAGGUUUUUUUUUAUAUCAUAUCCAUCAUAAAACAGCUGUUUUCACUUGCCAUAGGUGAAACUAUGGGUAAACAUUUCUUUUAUGUGCAGGUGUGUUGUAGCAAUAGAACUUGUUAACAGUGUAAGUGCUUAAGGAAUUUUUAGUGCAGAUUCUGUGAGUUAAAAUUACAGUAUGGAAUGGUCAUGAAGCCUGAUUUCCUUCCUCAGCCCCACUGUCCAGUAGAAAAAUGAUCCAGAUUUAGUCUUCAAUAUGUAAUCUAUCUUCUUCUUGGAUGUGCAGAAGGGUUUGUAUUAUAUUGUAUUUAAGGCUUAACAUCUCAUGCCAAGUAAUUUUUUCUUCUGAAUCACAGUAAAACUGUGUGGAAAUCAGUUCAAGAAAAAUUUGCUUGAUGGUAGUGCAUGAUGGUAAGUGGGGCAUUGGGAGUUCAUCCUGAGUAAAGGAAGAGAGCCUGUUUCUCAAGCAGAGUCCAUUCUGCUAGUGAAUUGCCCACUUCUCCAAAUGAACAUAAUGCAGUUAGGUCAGGGAGAAUGACACAGGAGGCUCAGCAUCAUUUCUGUCUCCUCACUUUUCUUGGCACCAUAUCCUAACACAAAGGUUUAUUGAAUAUUUACCUAAAAUUUCUCCCACAUUGGUUAUUUUCACUUCUGUGGUUUGACACUGUGAUACCAGAUGGGACAAACAAGAGCCUGGUCAAAACUUGAAAAAAAAAUCUGGGGAACAAGCAGUCCACAGGGUCUUUGAAAAGCUCUGAUACAUUCCUGGGGACCUAAAAGGUUGCAUAAAUGUGAAAAGCUGUGUGCAUGCCUGGGAAAGACCUGAGAGGGCCCUACUCUUUCACCUCUGGCUGAUUGGAGUUUCUGUGCAAGUAGGAAGUGAAGGCUAAGGCAGAGUUCUAAGCUGCCUGAAUGUUGAGGGCAUGUCUUAACACACAUGGAUACAUCUAGAGCUUCUCAGCAAAGAAUGGAAUAUUUAUUGAUUCACAGAAUUUAAGGAAAUGUCUGUCGAAUCAUUAGCUGACCACUAAGUUAACUGAGCAGAGACUUUAGUGGUUGUACAGUACAGGGAAUAAAGACUAUUGAAUUAGUCCUGGAAGGUCACUAUGCUAACAAAUAGCAGCAGCAGAAACAACAAAACAGCAAUUACAACAGACCCUAAGGGUGGGGGAUAUCUGAUUUCCAGAGUUUUUACAUUAUAUUAUCUAAAAUACUUAGUUUUCAAUUAAAAAUAUUGAAAUAUGCAAAGAAAUAGGAAAGCAUGACCUAUACACAGGAAAAGAACUGUCAAUAGAAACUAUCCCUGAGAGGUCUAAUUGUUGGUCUUACAAAUACUUUAAACCAGCUAUUAAAUAUACGUUAUUUAUAGGAUAAAUAUAAAAAUAUUGUAGACUAGGUGCAGUGACUCAUGCCUGUAAUCCCAGUACUUUGGGAGGCUGAGGUGGGUGGAUUGCUUUGAGCCUAGGAGUUCAAGACCAGCCUGGGCAACAUGGUGAAACCCCAUCAUGCAUGCCUGUGGUCCCAGGUACUCUGCUGGCUGAGGUGGGAGGAUCGUUUGAGCCUAGGAAGUUGAGGCUGCAGUGAGCUGUGAUUGCACCACUGCACUCCAACCUGCACAACAGAGUGAGAUCCUCUCUCAAAAAAAUUAUAAAUAUUAAUAUAUACAUAAAAAUAAAGUCUAAAGGAAACCAGGUCUAAAGAAUUAAAAUAUGAGAACAAUGCUUAACCAAAUAGAUAAUAUCAAUAAAGAAAAACUGGAAAAAAGACCCCGCAUAUCUACAACUAUCUGAUCUUUGACAAACCUGAGAAAAACAAGCAAUGGGGAAAGGAUUCCCACACACACACACGCACGCACGCACGCACGCACGCACAAGAAGGCAAUGUGAGGACAGAGGC
RNAcentral lists this long non-coding RNA (4673 nucleotides) under Homo sapiens (human). RNAcentral's name for it is "non-protein coding lnc-ZDBF2-1:1". Lineage: Eukaryota; Metazoa; Chordata; Mammalia; Primates; Hominidae. The record is from RNAcentral.